GAUGAACGCUGGCGGCGUGCCUAAUACAUGCAAGUCGAGCGAACGGACGAGAUACUUGCUUUUCUGAUUUUAGCGGCGGACGGGGGAGUAACACGUGGAUAACCUACCUAUAAGACUGGGAUAACUUCGGGAAACCGGAGCUAAUACCGGAUAAUAUUUUGAACCGCAUGGUUCAAAAGUGAAAGACGGUCUUGCUGUCACUUAUAGAUGGAUCCGCGCUGCAUUAGCUAGUUGGUAAGGUAACGGCUUACCAAGGCAACGAUGCAUAGCCGACCUGAGAGGGGGUUCGGCCAAACUGGAACUGGGACACGGUCCAGACUCUACGGGAGGCAGCAGUAGGGAAUCUUCCGCAAUGGGCGAAAGCCUGACGGAGCAACGCCGCGUGAGUGAUGAAGGUCUUCGGAUCGUAAAACUCUGUUAUUAGGGAAGAACAUAUGUGUAAGUAACUGUGCACAGCUUGACGGUACCUAAUCAGAAAGCCACGGCUAACUACGUG
RNAcentral lists this ribosomal RNA (496 nucleotides) under uncultured bacterium. RNAcentral's name for it is "partial 16S ribosomal RNA". It matches the Rfam family "Bacterial small subunit ribosomal RNA", at positions 28 to 507 of the family's 1533-position model. The record is from RNAcentral.